This 639-nucleotide ribosomal RNA is filed under the name Triticum aestivum (bread wheat). RNAcentral's name for it is "partial small subunit ribosomal RNA". Lineage: Eukaryota; Viridiplantae; Streptophyta; Magnoliopsida; Poales; Poaceae. The record is from RNAcentral.
AUGCCCUACCGUCAGCUCCACCCUCUCUCCGAUCUCGAGAAGCUCCCCUCCCCAAGGCUCCUCUCCACCCAUUUUCCGGUCACGCUGCUGCCUCCGUGCGUGGUGACCCUUGGUUGCCGAGUUGUGUACUUAUGUCGCAGUCCCAAGGAUGUGCUCGUGUCUUUAUGGCACUUCAUCUACAAGGUAAACAAGAACUACUCCAUAGAUAAAGCAUUUGAGUUGUUUUCCAAGGGAGAAUCCUCGUAUGGGCCUAUAUGGGAACACAAUCUUGGGUUCUGGAAGGAAAGCAUAUCAAACAGCGAUAGAGUUCUCUUCUUGAAGUAUGAUGAGAUGAUGGCCCAGCUGGUCAAGCAUGUCAAGAUGCUCGCCGAGUUCCUCCGUGUUCCCUUCACGGAGGAGGAGGUGAGAUGUGGAGUUGUGGAGGAGAUCGUGCACUUGUGUAGCUUCGAUAAGCUCAAAAGCAUGCCGGUCAACUCAUCCGGUGUAUCUGAUAGGAUUGGCGGGGAGCCAAUGGAGAAUUCUUCCUUCUUUAGGACUGCCAAGGUUGGUGACUGGGCAAAUUACUUGACUGAAGAGAUGGCAAAGAAGUUGGAUGGCAUUGUUGAGGAGAAGUUGAGCGGGUCAGAUCUUACAUUUUGA